Non-coding RNA from Oncorhynchus mykiss (rainbow trout), 516 nucleotides. The record is from RefSeq and is a predicted model, not a curated record. Lineage: Eukaryota; Metazoa; Chordata; Actinopteri; Salmoniformes; Salmonidae.
AUUGGAAGAAGGGGUGGUUACACAAUUGAUUGGACAACACCUAGUAAGCAAUACUAUACACAUUAAAAGGUGAAAUACUGUAGCUAUGUUAUCGUAAAAAUACAACUCCAAACUAGAAGUAUCAGAACACUUAGAAAGGUCGUUCUAACCUUAAAUAUGACUGGGAGAAGUGUCAAGAAUAAGAAAGCUAUACAUCCCAUAGUACUCUAGAACACAGCAAAACAUGAACAACAACAGUCUAACCAUCACUUAAAUAUGACUGGGAGAAGUGUCAAGAAUAGGAAAGCUACAUAUUCCACAGUACACUAGAACACAGCAAAACAUGAACAACAAGUCUAACUGUCGCUGAGGGCAAUAGAGCAACAUGUUUUAGUAGGAUGAGAGGCCUUGUAACAAUCCCACCUCUCAGCACCAGAAGACAUUGUUAGUCAUAUAGGCAGAACAUGUUGCUGAGAGGUGGGAUUCAGUCUAGUGAUGAGAAGAAAAAAAAACAGCUUCUAUCUCAAGGCCAUCAGA